GAUGAACGCUAGCUACAGGCUUAACACAUGCAAGUCGAGGGACCGGCACACGGGUGAGUAACACGUAACCAACCUGCCCUUUACUCGGGAAUAGCCUUUCGAAAGAACGAUUCAUACCCGAUAUAAAGGAUGGUGAUGCGUUCCAUUAGCUAGUAGGUGGGGUAACAGCUCACCUAGGCGACGAUCCCUAGCUGGUCUGAGAGGAUGACCAGCCACACGGGAACUGAGACACGGUCCAAACUCGUACGUGCGGCAGCAGUGAGGAAUAUUGGUCAAUGGGCGCUAGCCUGAACCAGCCAAGUAGCGUGAAGGAUGAAGGCUUUUGGGUCGUAAACUUCUUUUAUAUAAGAAUAUGUAUUAUAUGAAUAAGGAUCGGCUAACUCCGUGCCAGCAGCCGCGGUAAUAC
RNAcentral lists this ribosomal RNA (406 nucleotides) under uncultured bacterium. RNAcentral's name for it is "partial 16S ribosomal RNA". It matches the Rfam family "Bacterial small subunit ribosomal RNA", at positions 28 to 526 of the family's 1533-position model. The record is from RNAcentral.